GUAUCCAUAGUGUGGGAAUUGCAAUAAAAUUAAUUUGAAGCGAUCUCAUGCUUUACGAAAGGAUUUAGUAUCCUUUUGAUAAAAAAUAGAAAUUUCAGCUCUUAAUUC
This is a non-coding RNA of Ricinus communis (castor bean), 108 nucleotides long. The record is from Rfam. NCBI's taxonomy places the organism in Eukaryota, Viridiplantae, Streptophyta, Magnoliopsida, Malpighiales, Euphorbiaceae.